Molecule: ribosomal RNA, 333 nt
Filed under: uncultured bacterium
Lineage: Bacteria
Description: bacterial SSU rRNA
Rfam family: Bacterial small subunit ribosomal RNA
Source: RNAcentral
UCAUGGCGAGAUGUUGAAAGACGGUUUCGGCUGUCACUACAAGAUGGGCCCGCGGCGCAUUAGCUAGUUGGUAGGGUAAUGGCCUACCAAGGCGACGAUGCGUAGCCGACCUGAGAGGGUGAUCGGCCACACUGGGACUGAGACACGGCCCAGACUCCUACGGGAGGCAGCAGUAGGGAAUCUUCCACAGUGGACGAAAGUCUGAUGGAGCAACGCCGCGUGAGUGAAGAAGGUUUUCGGAUCGUAAAACUCUGUUGUAAGGGAAGAACACGUACGAGAGUAACUGCUCGUACCUUGACGGUACCUUAUUAGAAAGCCACGGCUAACUACGUG